GAUGAACGCUGGCGGCGUGCCUAAUACAUGCAAGUAGAACGCUGAAGGAGGAGCUUGCUCUUCUGGAUGAGUUGCGAACGGGUGAGUAACGCGUAGGUAACCUGCCUGGUAGCGGGGGAUAACUAUUGGAAACGAUAGCUAAUACCGCAUGACAACAGUUAUUGCAUGAUAACUGUUUAAAAGGUGCAACUGCUCCACUACCAGAUGGACCUGCUUUGUAUUAGCUAGUUGGUGAGGUAACGGCUCACCAAGGCGACGAUACAUAGCCGACCUGAGAGGGGGGUCGGCCACACUGGGACUGAGACACGGCACAGACUCCUAAGGGAGGCAGCAGUAGGGAAUCUUCGGGAAUGGACGGAAGUCUGACCGAGCAACGCCGCGUGAGGGAAGAAGGUUGUCGGAUCGUAAAGCUCUGUUGUAAGAGAAGAACGAGUGUGAGAGUGGAAAGUUCACACUGUGACGGUAACUUACCAGAAAGGGACGGCUAACUACGUG
Molecule: ribosomal RNA, 495 nt
Filed under: uncultured bacterium
Lineage: Bacteria
Description: partial 16S ribosomal RNA
Rfam family: Bacterial small subunit ribosomal RNA
Source: RNAcentral